UACGUAGGGGGCAAGCGUUGUCCGGAAUCAUUGGGCGUAAAGAGCGUGUAGGCGGCUAGAUAAGUCUGCUCUGAAAGCCCGGGGCUCAACCCCGGGAGGCGGGUGGAUACUGUCUAGCUCGAGUCCGGAAGAGGAGUGUGGAAUUCCUGGUGUAGCGGUGAAAUGCGCAGAUAUCAGGAGGAACACCAAUGGCGAAGGCAGCACUCUGGGACGUGACUGACGCUGAGACGCGAAAGCGUGGGGAGCAAACAGG
RNAcentral lists this ribosomal RNA (253 nucleotides) under uncultured bacterium. Its description in RNAcentral is "partial 16S ribosomal RNA". It matches the Rfam family "Bacterial small subunit ribosomal RNA", at positions 524 to 776 of the family's 1533-position model. The record is from RNAcentral.